UACCAGCACCCCGAGUGGUCGGGACGAUUAUUGGGCCUAAAGCAUCCGUAGCCGGUCAUGCAAGUCCUCCGUUAAAUCCACCUGCUUAACAGAUGGGCUGCGGAGGAUACUACAAGGCUAGGAGGCGGAAGAGGCAAGCGGUACUUAGUGGGUAGGGGUAAAAUCCUCUGAUCCAUUGAAGACCACCAGUGGCGAAGGCGGCUUGCCAAUACGCGCUCGACGGUGAGGGAUGAAAGCUGGGGGGGCAAACCGG
This 253-nucleotide ribosomal RNA is filed under the name uncultured bacterium. Its description in RNAcentral is "partial 16S ribosomal RNA". It matches the Rfam family "Archaeal small subunit ribosomal RNA", at positions 474 to 727 of the family's 1478-position model. The record is from RNAcentral.